This 301-nucleotide ribosomal RNA is filed under the name uncultured bacterium. RNAcentral's name for it is "partial 16S ribosomal RNA". It matches the Rfam family "Bacterial small subunit ribosomal RNA", at positions 509 to 809 of the family's 1533-position model. The record is from RNAcentral.
CAGUCGCCGCGGGAAUACGUAGGGUGCGAGCGUUAAUCGGAAUUACUGGGCGUAAAGCGUGCGCAGGCGGUUGUGUAAGACAGGUGUGAAAUCCCCGGGCUUAACCUGGGAACUGCGCUCGUGACUGCACAGCUAGAGUAUGGCAGAGGGGGGUGGAAUUCCACGUGUAGCAGUGAAAUGCGUAGAGAUGUGGAGGAACACCGAUGGCGAAGGCAGCCCCCUGGGCCAAUACUGACGCUCAUGCACGAAAGCGUGGGGAGCAAACAGGAUUAGAUACCCGUGUAGUCCCUGUCUCAUAUAC